UUACAAAAGCAGAAUAGAAGUGAGCUUCGUCGAACCACAAGUCAGUCGUGAAAGAAUAUUGCUAACAUUGAAUCAUGAAGAUAUUUCUCCUAUUUUUUUUGUUUACCUGUUUACAGCUGAUGGCCGAGUCUGCCUCAAUCAAGGAGAAAGAGGAGAUUGCAGGUAUUCUACGUGAACCAGCAGGGUGCACAGAUGAAAACCCCACCUAUUGCAGCACAUUUGGUAAACAAUACUGCACAAAUGGACAACUUUUUUCCACUUUCAGCAACUUCGAUGACUUCAAAGGAAAGUGCUCCGCCUUUUGUGGACUCUGCUAGGAGAAUAGGACACAAAUGACGUGAGUGGAGAGUUGAAAUGAACAAGAAAGAGUGAUCUAUAUGCUUAUAAUUGUUGCCCUAGAGCUGUAAUAAAAGAAAUGAUCAUCAGCUGUU
This is a long non-coding RNA of Pocillopora damicornis (cauliflower coral), 431 nucleotides long. Lineage: Eukaryota; Metazoa; Cnidaria; Anthozoa; Scleractinia; Pocilloporidae. The record is from RefSeq and is a predicted model, not a curated record.